Molecule: long non-coding RNA, 1206 nt
Organism: Malurus melanocephalus (red-backed fairy wren)
Lineage: Eukaryota; Metazoa; Chordata; Aves; Passeriformes; Maluridae
Exons: 4
Source: RefSeq, a predicted model, not a curated record
GGUUUGUUUUACUGCAGAGUGUUGUCCUGUUCCCUCUCACUGUGUGGCUGCAUGAACACCUGGCAGAUGGGAGAGGGGGAUGCAAGUGGCAAUAAACAGGCCAAGGACUGGAARGUGACGACCAUGACCCUAGAAAAAGCCUAAAGAAAACAACCUUGUUACGAGACAUACCUUGCAAUAGAUGUUUGCUUAACUGGAAAUCCGCAAGAGCAGCUGCCCAGUGCAACAGUACAUAUUUGCUUCUGAAUCCUUUCUCAAAGACACUAUUUAAACAUGUUGAUGAACCGAGUUGGAUUCUUCCCCACCUCCAUUCCAGCAAAAGAAAGAGACUCAGAAGAUAAAAUUCAUUUUGUUAUUGCAAGUAGUGCUAUGUGCUCUUCAGAUUCAGCAGAAUAAAUGGCAUGAAGAWGGCAGACACCUGAACAAAACAAAAAAGGAAUGAAAUUCCAUUGUUCUUCAGACAACUAAGAAGAGAAAAGAAGAUGCUACUGCAAAAUAUUCAGACUUGUCCCACCUGCURGCUUGGACAAUCCCAAGCACAAAUACAGACUGAUCAGCGAAUGGAUUGAGAGCAGCCCUGCUGAGAAGGAGUUGGAGGUGCUGGUGGAUGAGAAGUUCAACAUGACCCAGCAUGGAACAGGUUGCCCAGAGAUGUUGUGGAUGCCCCAUCCCUGGAAGUCUUCAAGAGCAGGCUGGAUGGGGCUUUGAGCAGCCUGGUGUAGUGGAAGAUGUCUUUGCCCAUGGCAUGGAGUUUGGAACUUGAUGAUCUUCAAUGUUCCGUCCAAUCCAAGCCGUUAUGUUUCCAUUAAUCUGUGAUCACAUGAAUGCAUUCAGUGUUGCUCAGCAUGUUCAUUCACUAAAGAUCUAAACUUUCUUAAUUAAUUAUAUACUUUAAGGGUCUUCUUAACUGUUCUCUGUAUGUGUCAUAUUGUUAGUGUUUAGAAAAAAUAGCAAUUUUGCUGCACCAGCUGAUUAAAAAAUGUGCAUAUACAUUUUGAAUAUUUUUCAAACCCAUGAAAUUUCAUUUUUAGAAUGGCUGUGGGAACUUAAGACAUUSGGAUUAUCAGUUCAAAAGAUCUGUUAGUACAGACCAGAUCAAUAUCAUGUGCACUAUUUCUACAUUCAUCAUUCAGGACUACUGACKUUUUGCACAUUUUGUAGCAGAAAUAAUCUGCAAGCUGAGAAUAAAAAUAAAUGCUGCUUGAC